UACGUAGGGUGCGAGCGUUGUCCGGAAUUAUUGGGCGUAAAGAGCUUGUAGGCGGUUUGUCGCGUCUGCUGUGAAAAUCCGGGGCUCAACCCCGGACUUGCAGUGGGUACGGGCAGACUAGAGUGUGGUAGGGGGAGACUGGAAUUCCUGGUGUAGCGGUGAAAUGCGCAGAUAUCAGGAGGAACACCGAUGGCGAAGGCAGAUCUCUGGGCCGUAACUGACGCUGAGGAGCGAAAGCAUGGGGGAGCGAACAGG
Molecule: ribosomal RNA, 255 nt
Filed under: uncultured bacterium
Lineage: Bacteria
Description: partial 16S ribosomal RNA
Rfam family: Bacterial small subunit ribosomal RNA
Source: RNAcentral